AGACAUGGCCGACGCGGCUUAAACUGUAGUAUCUGUUCUUAUGAGCUUAAUAUCUGAUACGGGUUGUAUUUGGACCUAAGAUAUUAAACUUAUUUUUGCAAGUUGGCGGAGUACUUGACGCCUGCUUCAUCUCCACCGCCGGUCGACCCGGUAUUUUUGGUCUACGCGUACAUCGAUCCGCU
This 182-nucleotide small nuclear RNA is filed under the name Dermacentor silvarum. RNAcentral describes it as "U2 spliceosomal RNA". It matches the Rfam family "U2 spliceosomal RNA". Rfam says of the family: U2 is a small nuclear RNA (snRNA) component of the spliceosome (involved in pre-mRNA splicing). Complementary binding between U2 snRNA (in an area lying towards the 5' end but 3' to hairpin I) and the branchpoint sequence (BPS) of the intron results the bulging out of an unpaired adenosine, on the BPS, which initiates a nucleophilic attack at the intronic 5' splice site, thus starting the first of two transesterification reactions that mediate splicing. Lineage: Eukaryota; Metazoa; Arthropoda; Arachnida; Ixodida; Ixodidae. The record is from RNAcentral.